ACUUUUGGAAUAAUCAGUUAUUUGACAAUUAAUGUAAACAGUUAACCCUAGAGGAUGUUAGGUUUGUAACUUUAAUAGUCCCUGUUUAUUGGGUCAUUUGAAACUGUGUUUGGUUCCAAAGAAAGAUAGAGGAAAGAAAGUGAGGGAAGGGAAAGAGGAUGGAAAGGGGAAUCUUCCAUCGUUUGGAACAAAUGAAAAUGAAAAAGGAAAAGAAAGAUAUUGAUGGGUCCCACAGUAAAAUGGUUUCCGCUCAUAAAUGGGAGGAAAGGUAGAGUGAACCAUAUUUUUUGUUAAGAGGACAAAAGAGGCCUCAUGUUAAAAACUUUUUUUUUCCUACCAUUGCCACUAGUAGUACCACAUGUGCUGGUACUGUUGAUUAUAUAUACCAACAGAAUUUUGUUUUUAUUUUUAUUUGUCAAAAAACUCAAUUAUUUAGUUCUUGGUAUAUAAAAUGAUAUUAGUUAAUAAUAUAUCUUAUUUAGAAUUUUAAAUAUUAUACAAAUAAAUGCAUAAGUAAUAUCUCAUUUUCAUACAAAGGUAGUUAUGUCAAUUACUAAAUACAUCUUUUUCAUUUCUCUCACUUUCUAUUCACUUUCUCUAAUACCAAACAACCAAAUAAUCAUCUCACUUUCCACUAACUUUCUACUCAUUUUCAUUUCUUUGACAUUCUUUCUUUCUUUUCACUUUCUUUUUUCAACCCAACAAAGGCUUAAUGUCUGGUGCAUUUAGUUGCAGAAUGCAGAUGCUAUACAUCCACUGAUAUGAGUAAUAUAUUGUGUCAAGUCAAGUACAUGUAGAAGGACAUCAAAUAAGCCUCAGGGGCAUUGGUUUAUUAACGAGAAAAUUAAAGUGUACUAUAUUAUGAUAAUUUUCUAAUCGAUGUUUUGUGGUUCUCUGAUUGCUGUUGCUAUUGUUAUAUUAAUUAAUUUAAUUUAAUAUGGUUUUAUUUGAUUUAAUGCGUUCUAUUUUAUUUUUU
This 976-nucleotide long non-coding RNA is filed under the name Trifolium pratense (red clover). RNAcentral's name for it is "long non-coding RNA (TPRA_LNC008503)". Lineage: Eukaryota; Viridiplantae; Streptophyta; Magnoliopsida; Fabales; Fabaceae. The record is from RNAcentral.